GGCCUGGCCGGGUGGUCUGCUUAACGGCAUGUACUGUCUGGGUGGGCCUUACCUCUUGGUGAGCCGGCGUGCCCUUCAUUGGCGUGCGUCGGGGAACCAGGACUUUUACCUUGAAAAAAUUAGAGUGUUCAAAGCAGGCGUAACCUUGCCAUUGAAUAUUACAGCAUGGGAUAAUAGAAU
This 180-nucleotide ribosomal RNA is filed under the name uncultured Glomeromycotina. RNAcentral describes it as "partial small subunit ribosomal RNA". Lineage: Eukaryota; Fungi; Glomeromycota. The record is from RNAcentral.